Armillaria novae-zelandiae is the source of this 83-nucleotide non-coding RNA. The record is from the annotation of a GenBank genome assembly. Lineage: Eukaryota; Fungi; Basidiomycota; Agaricomycetes; Agaricales; Physalacriaceae.
UGCCCCAUGGCUGAGUUGGUUACAGCGUCCGACUGUUAUAUUCUGGCAUCGGAAGGUCGAGAGUUCGAGCCUCUCUGGGGCAG